GAUCCUGGCUCAGGACGAACGCUGGCGGCGUGCCUAAUACAUGCAAGUAGAACGCUGAAGGAAGGAGCUUGCUCUUUCCGGAUGAGUUGCGAACGGGUGAGUAACGCGUAGGUAACCUGCCUGGUAGCGGGGGAUAACUAUUGGAAACGAUAGCUAAUACCGCAUAACAGUAGAUAUCGCAUGAUAGCUGCUUAAAAGGUGCAAUUGCACCACUACCAGAUGGACCUGCGUUGUA
This 235-nucleotide ribosomal RNA is filed under the name uncultured bacterium. RNAcentral's name for it is "partial 16S ribosomal RNA". It matches the Rfam family "Bacterial small subunit ribosomal RNA", at positions 15 to 240 of the family's 1533-position model. The record is from RNAcentral.